AGGCUUGGUCCUGACUUUACUGUCUGCUUUAGCCAUAUUUACACAUGCAAGUAUCCGCACCCCUGUGAGAAUGCCCAUAUUCUCCUGUAUGGAGAUAAGGAGCUGGUAUCAGGCACACAACUCUUGUAGCCCAUAACACCUUGCUUAGCCACACCCCCAAGGGAACCCAGCAGUGAUAAA
RNAcentral lists this ribosomal RNA (180 nucleotides) under Echeneis naucrates (live sharksucker). Its description in RNAcentral is "partial 12S ribosomal RNA". The record is from RNAcentral. Lineage: Eukaryota; Metazoa; Chordata; Actinopteri; Carangiformes; Echeneidae.